AUGUCUAACAAAAUGUUGACUUGAUCAUUUCAUCAAGAACUCAUCACAAGUUGGAACUAGUGGUCAACAUUGGGACAAUGCAGCCCAAAAUAACAGGGCUGAAUAUUUUCAUGGAGUGAGCAAGACCUGCCAGCAGAGCUCACUGGAGCAGGGAGACAUCCCGUCAUCCUUUUGGCGCCUGACAAAAUCAUCACACCAGCCGAAGUUGCUGUGCAGAGGGAGGAGAUCGUCCGAGCAUCAGGCCUCAUCCCGUCACAGAGGAAGGGUAUC
Molecule: long non-coding RNA, 270 nt
Organism: Oncorhynchus nerka (sockeye salmon)
Lineage: Eukaryota; Metazoa; Chordata; Actinopteri; Salmoniformes; Salmonidae
Exons: 3
Source: RefSeq, a predicted model, not a curated record